This 523-nucleotide ribosomal RNA is filed under the name Pseudomonas sp. enrichment culture clone R_8m3_OTU2. RNAcentral's name for it is "bacterial SSU rRNA". It matches the Rfam family "Bacterial small subunit ribosomal RNA", at positions 8 to 526 of the family's 1533-position model. Lineage: Bacteria; Pseudomonadati; Pseudomonadota; Gammaproteobacteria; Pseudomonadales; Pseudomonadaceae. The record is from RNAcentral.
AGAGUUUGAUCAUGGCUCAGAUUGAACGCUGGCGGCAGGCCUAACACAUGCAAGUCGAGCGGUAGAGAGAAGCUUGCUUCUCUUGAGAGCGGCGGACGGGUGAGUAAUGCCUAGGAAUCUGCCUGGUAGUGGGGGAUAACGUUCGGAAACGGACGCUAAUACCGCAUACGUCCUACGGGAGAAAGCAGGGGACCUUCGGGCCUUGCGCUAUCAGAUGAGCCUAGGUCGGAUUAGCUAGUUGGUGGGGUAAUGGCUCACCAAGGCGACGAUCCGUAACUGGUCUGAGAGGAUGAUCAGUCACACUGGAACUGAGACACGGUCCAGACUCCUACGGGAGGCAGCAGUGGGGAAUAUUGGACAAUGGGCGAAAGCCUGAUCCAGCCAUGCCGCGUGUGUGAAGAAGGUCUUCGGAUUGUAAAGCACUUUAAGUUGGGAGGAAGGGCAGUUACCUAAUACGUAAUUGUUUUGACGUUACCGACAGAAUAAGCACCGGCUAACUCUGUGCCAGCCGCCGCGGUAAUWC